AGGGAAUCUUCCGCAAUGGACGAAAGUCUGACGGAGCAACGCCGCGUGAGUGAAGAAGGUUUUCGGAUCGUAAAACUCUGUUGUUAGAGAAGAACAAGGAUGAGAGUAACUGUUCAUCCCUUGACGGUAUCUAACCAGAAAGCCAUGGCUAACUACGUGCCAGCAGCCGCGGUAAUACGUAGAUGGCGAGCGUUGUCCGGAUUUAUUGGGCGUAAAGCGAGCGCAGGCGGUUCUUUAAGUCCGAUGUGAAAGCCCCUGGCUCAACCAGGGAGGGUCAUUGGAAACUGGAGAACUUGAGUGCAGAAGAGGAAAGUGGAAUUCCAUGUGUAGCGGUGAAAUGCGUAGAUAUAUGGGGGAACACCAGUGGCGAAGGCGACUUUCUGGUCUGUAACUGACGCUGAGGCUCGAAAGCAUGGGGAGCAAAC
This 425-nucleotide ribosomal RNA is filed under the name uncultured bacterium. RNAcentral's name for it is "bacterial SSU rRNA". It matches the Rfam family "Bacterial small subunit ribosomal RNA", at positions 356 to 773 of the family's 1533-position model. The record is from RNAcentral.